This 74-nucleotide transfer RNA is filed under the name bacterium. Its description in RNAcentral is "tRNA-Pro". It matches the Rfam family "tRNA". Rfam says of the family: Transfer RNA (tRNA) molecules are approximately 80 nucleotides in length. Their secondary structure includes four short double-helical elements and three loops (D, anti-codon, and T loops). The record is from RNAcentral. RNAcentral also lists the same sequence under 1 other name.
CGGGGUGUAGCGCAGCCUGGUAGCGCGCCUGCUUUGGGAGCAGGAUGUCGGAGGUUCAAAUCCUCUCACCCCGA